AUGAAUUUUAUGGCAGAGUUGUAGCUGGUCCUAAUCGGACAUGUGCACACUUUGUUCAUUCCAAUUCUCAUACACCUCUGUGCACUUUUCAUAGGUUUAAUGUGGAAAAGGUCUCUGGCCUUGGAAAUAUUAGCCUAUGUAUUUACAAACGCUUUAGUUUUAGAAUGUCAAUCGCGUAUAACGCAAUAAAUA
RNAcentral lists this unclassified non-coding RNA (192 nucleotides) under uncultured fungus. Its description in RNAcentral is "sequence contains ITS1, 5.8S rRNA gene". Lineage: Eukaryota; Fungi. The record is from RNAcentral.